This 446-nucleotide ribosomal RNA is filed under the name uncultured bacterium. RNAcentral describes it as "bacterial SSU rRNA". It matches the Rfam family "Bacterial small subunit ribosomal RNA", at positions 330 to 792 of the family's 1533-position model. The record is from RNAcentral.
UCCAGACUCCUACGGGAGGCAGCAGUGGGGAAUAUUGCACAAUGGGGGAAACCCUGAUGCAGCAACGCCGCGUGAGUGAAGAAGUAUUUCGGUAUGUAAAGCUCUAUCAGCAGGGAAGAAGAAAGACGGUACCUGACUAAGAAGCCCCGGCUAACUACGUGCCAGCAGCCGCGGUAAUACGUAGGGGGCAAGCGUUAUCCGGAUUUACUGGGUGUAAAGGGAGCGUAGACGGCAAUACAAGUCGGAAGUGAAAUACCCGGGCUUAACCUGGGAACUGCUUUGGAAACUGUAUGGCUGGAGUGCUGGAGAGGUAAGCGGAAUUCCUAGUGUAGCGGUGAAAUGCGUAGAUAUUAGGAGGAACACCAGUGGCGAAGGCGGCUUACUGGACAGUAACUGACGUUGAGGCUCGAAAGCGUGGGGAGCAAACAGGAUUAGAUACCCGCGUA